GUUGAAACUUGUUGUGCUUACGGAACAUUUCUGGGAUCUUUUAAUUCAGCUCAUGAAACAUGGGACCGACACUUUACAUGUUGCAUAUAUAUUUGUAUCAGAAUAGAUAGGCCGUGACUGGCCUCACACUCCAGUACAAUAGGAGGCGGUGUAUACACCUAAAAGUUGGAUGCGAUCCGUCAACCAAAUCCUGAAGAAGAUGACGAAGAAGAAGCAGCUGUUUAUCUUCAGUCAGCACCGUUCAUAUGUACCUCAAUAGUCAGCACAGGAUUUACGUGGUUUUCAGCUUGAAGUGGCAAUGAGUCAGUUUCCCUUCUGCGUAAUAGCCUAGAAACGCUAAAGAUUCGGUGUUGCACGUCUGGACCAAAGGCUCCGGUUGAUUUCGUCGCUGUUCUGGUGCUUUACGGUGCAGAAGGAUAUGGUUUUCUCAUCGUCCCAGCAAGUGGUUGUCGCAUUUACGGCGGUGUUGUUUGCGUUUGUGGUGUUCCCUAGAAUGUUCGGCGUAGGAUCCGGAGCGAAGGAAACAAGAGGUUUUGAUGCUCGCUACAACAGAAAAGCGGGACCAGGACCAGGACCAGGUGCAGUGAGAGGGCAGCCGGUCAACAAGAACACGCCUGGCUCCAUGAACAAAGCUCAGACCCUGGAGAACAUGCAGCAGAUGAAGGUGAUGAUGGAGCAGGAGAUGAAGGGUGACAAAUACAAAACCAACAGCAACAAGGGCUACGUGUUCACGCUGAUGCCGCUCUACGCCAUCGGAGUCGGCCUCUUUGCAGCGUACAAAUUUCUGAAGAUCAAGUCUGCAGAUGACUCCCAAGCCCAAAAGAAUAAGGAUGCCAAAGGUCCCAAGAAGUCGGAGGAGACAGAGAAUCAGCUUACAGAGCUGGAGCAGCGGCUAGCGCAAACAGAGAAGAUGCUCAACUCCAUUCUCACCCAACUUGACCCAUUGACAAGUUGGUAAGUAAGCCAACUGACCUGACCCAUAAACCACUGAGCUCCAGUUUGUCUUCUGUUUCUGUGUAAUAUUGCUCAGUAAAUAAUACCCCAUGUAAAUAAAUACAUGUCCGUCGUGAUUAAGAGCAGUUUAUCCAGACCAGGUAGUAAUAGCAGUUAUUAGGGGACGUUGCAUGGUCUUGAUAAACUGUUGACACUAUUGACUCUGCUGAAUCUAAGAGGGUUUAUGGUAAUAGACUCUGUGGUGUGUUGACUAGGCACCAAAUAGGAGAUUGUCUUACCGAAGCACAUUUCUGUAUCAACUGGGUGUUGGGUGAAGUGGACCCUAGGGCCUAGACCUCGAUUAUUUUUUAGUCUCAGUUUGGCAUUUCCCUGACUAAUGGUUAAGGUUAGGAUUGGGGAAGCUGAUCCUAGAUCUGUCCCUAGAGAAACUUCAUCCCGGAGCUAUAAACUGAACCUGCGUUUCCCAGAGGUCUGUCCUCAGUGACCCUGCUCUCUCCUGGCCAUUUCGCUCCUCUCCAGUGUCAAGUCUGUGGCCCAGGAACAGAAGAACGAGAUCAUGUCCCAACUCCAGUCCAUCCGCCACCUGAUGAAGAAGAGAGGCAUGGACUGCCCACCCCUUAACAUUGAAGAGCCGCAGUGCGAGAGGAACCUGGAUGACCUCAUCGAGUCUCUGGCAGCCCACAGCGACACCUCGCCAGAGGUGGUCGCUCCUGCGGAAGACGAUCAAAGUGGUGUCGUGAAAGAGGAGGAGCCAGUCCACCACCAGCAGCACCCUGAAUCCAAGGAUGAGUACUCAGCGACCGAUGCUGAGGAGGACAUGCCCUCCUUGGACGAUUCUUGUGAGACAAACAUUGAGGACAUGGGCCUUGCCCAGAGCAUUCCAGAAGAAAUGCCUACAACUGGGCUCAGACGACGUAACAGGCUGGAAUGAACAGGAAAAAAAGGGGGUUGUUUUAAACUGUACAUGAAUAAAGCCAUACAUGUAUUUUCUCAUUCUUAAUGGCACUACUGCAGUCUGUUCAAUAAUGCUCUUGCUUUUGGCUCGCAGUUGAAUAAGAAAGGGCAGCUAUCAAUGUGAAAGGAUUUUGUCCAAGGUUGUGUGUGAUAAAGGUAUUUUUCUGUGCCAUCCCUUAAAGCAUAGCAGAUCCCUGGCUAGGCCUAUGUGUAGGGUUAGGGCUUACUCCUGACAAAUAAAAUCCCCAGAAGCCUAACUCCAUAUAACCUUUGACUUAGGUCUGGAGGUUUUCCUUGUCAGACCCCAAGUAUGAGGCCUGAGUUUUCCAUCCUUGAACCAAACGUUAGUAUGUAAGGCACCUGUAAAUGUGUUUUCAUCACGUGACUGCUGCUUGGAAACCCUGUACAUCUCAUUAUAUGCUACCAUCUUUUAGAAAGGGUCAUUACGGCCCUAAAUAUAAAGACUCCAAAGUGUGUGUUGUUAUGCAAUCUUGCAACUGCAAUCCGUACGUCAUAGAAUAGUCAAAAUAAUACAAAAUGUCAAACAUAGUUAACUAUAAAUACCUACAUUUAGUUUUUUUCUACUACGUACUCGAGUCUACCAGAUACAAGUGCACGCUUGUGACGUUUGGCUUGUGGUAUGAUUUGCCUGUUUUCAGACAUCUUAUGCAUGUGUUUUUUUUUCUGCAACUGAUCUUGAAUGUCCUGGUGAAUACAACUGCAUGAGUUAUCUUACUAGAGGGAGAUGCAGGACAAUCAUGAAUGUAUUGAUGAUGUAGUCUAAAUCAGGGCUCUCCAACCCUGUUCCUGGAGAGUUACUGUCCACUGGGUUUCUAUCCAACCCUGUUCCCGGAGAGCUACUGUCCACUGGGUUUCUCUCCAACUCUGUUCCUGGAGAGCUACUGUCCACUGGGUUUCUCUCCAACUCUGUUCCUGGAGAGCUACUGUCCAGUGGGUUUCUCUCCAACCCUGUUCCUGAAGAGCUACUGUCCACUGGGUUUCUCUCCAACCCUGUUCCUGAAGAGCUACUGUCCACUGGGUUUCUCUCCAACCCUGUUCCUGAAGAGCUACUGUCCAGUGGGUUUCUCUCCAAACCUGUUCCUGGAGAGCUACUGUCCACUGGGCUUCUCUCCAACCCUGUUCCUGGAGAGCUACUGUCCAGUGGGUUUCUCUCCAACCCUGUUCCUGGAGAGCUACUGUCCACUGGGUUUCUCUCCAACCCUGUUCCUGGAGAGCUACUCUCCACUGGGUUUCUAUCCAACCCUGUUCCCGGAGAGCUACUGUCCACUGGGUUUCUCUCCAACCCUGUUCCCGGAGAGCUACUGUCCACUGGGUAUCUCUCCAACCCUGUUCCUGGAGUGCUACUCUCCAGUGGGUUUCUCUCCAACCCUGUUCCUGAAGAGCUACUGUCCAGUGGGUUUCUCUCCAACCCUGUUCCUGGAGAGCUACUGUCCACUGGGCUUCUCUCCAACCCUGUUCCUGGAGAGCUACUGUCCAGUGGGUUUCUCUCCAACCCUGUUCCUGGAGAGCUACUGUCCAGCGGGUUUCUCUCCAACCCUGUUCCUGAAGAGCUACUGUCCACUGGGUAUCUCUCCAACCCUGUUCCUGGAGUGCUACUCUCCAGUGGGUUUCUCUCCAACCCUGUUCCUGGAGAGCUACUCUCCAGUGGGUUUCUCUCCAACCCUGUUCCUGGAGAGCUACUCUCCAGUGGGUUUCUCUCCAACCCUGUUCCUGGAGAGCUACUCUCCAGUAGGUUUCUCUGCAACCCUGUUCCUGGAGAGCUACUCUCCAGUGGGUUUCUCUGCAACCCUGUUCCUGGAGAGCUACUGUCCAGUAGGUUUCUCUGCAACCCUAAUCUAGUACACGUGAUCCUAAUAAUUAUCUGGUUGAUAAGGGGAAUCCAGUUAGGUUCCCACAAACCCGUUUUAACUAUCGGAGGGUAGCUCUUCAGGAGCAGAGUUGGAGAACCCUGGUCUGAAUUAAUUUGCGUUCUAUUCGGGCUUUUGUCCAGUUUUGUAGUUCAGAUUAAGCACUAUAUGUGUAUUUAGCCAACACAACCAUGCAAUUUGCUCUUUUAUAUUUCUUUCCUUUUAAGUAUUUUAUGUUAUCUAUUGUUGACUGUAGUUAACACAGAAGUUAGCCUCUGGUUAGCACCAACCCAGUGAAACUACAGGAUAGAACAGAAAUCAAAUAAUCUCAUUGGUUUCAUCUUAAAUUGCACCCUACCUAUUCCCUAUAUAGUAGGCCUCUGGUCAAAAGUAGUGCACUAUGUAGGGAAUAUGGUGACGUGAACUGUGUAGUAAUACUGUACCAGCAAUCAAAUAAUCAUGUCUGUGUAGAAAUGCUCUACCACAAGACUUUUCAAAACACUGACAAAUAUCUUGUCUUGUGAUUAACUAUAGCUUUGGAGCAAAUA
This 4324-nucleotide long non-coding RNA is filed under the name Salmo salar (Atlantic salmon). RNAcentral describes it as "lncRNA (ENSSSAG00000085224.1)". The record is from RNAcentral. Lineage: Eukaryota; Metazoa; Chordata; Actinopteri; Salmoniformes; Salmonidae.